GGGUGAAGGGCCGAGGCAGAGAAUCUUCAAGCAGACUCCUCGCUGAGUUCAGAGCCCAAUGCAGGGCUCACCCAGGAUCCUGAAGUCAUGACCUGAGCCAAAACCAAGAGCCAGAUGCUCAACCAACUGAGCCAUGCAGUGUUAUGUAUCAACAUCUUCUGCCAUCAGUCUUGGACUUCAGAAGAUAGCCACCAGUG
RNAcentral lists this long non-coding RNA (197 nucleotides) under Mustela putorius furo (domestic ferret). Its description in RNAcentral is "lncRNA (ENSMPUG00000029325.1)". Lineage: Eukaryota; Metazoa; Chordata; Mammalia; Carnivora; Mustelidae. The record is from RNAcentral.